GUUUGCCUUCCCGUGGCGCAUGGUAGGAAGUGUACAAGCAUGUACCUAACAAUGCUAGAAAACAGGCAGCCAAACUACUAUGCAAUAGCAUUGUAAUCUUCUGGCUAAUGUAACUACAUCAUACGCGAAUAGUAGUUAUAAACAAGGGUAUCUGCAGAGGGGAUGGGAAAAAGUCUUCAUGAAGACUUCAACUCAUUCUUUUUUUACAUGGGUUACCAUCUUGAGUUUUUUGGCCCCUCACUUCCACUAUGGAUCCCCCAGGGGUCUGAUCUCCAAACAUCUUCCUUUGGACAUUACCUUAUCUUGUUCUGACACGUGUCUUAUUGUUUUCCUCUUGCAACCCUAGAGAACAAUCAAUGGUUCUCCACCUUCAAAGGCUGUGUGCCAACCAAGAACUGUCCCUCUCUUUCCAUGAGUUUCACAUUUCCUUCGAAGCAUGAGCGAAGGAUGGCCAAGUGUUGCUACCAUGAUUUCUGCAACAAAGGAGUUGUGAAAUAUAAUCAAAUCUUUGUGCAUGCUAAACGUGGCUGUGGAACCAAGCAAGUCUGCUGGAAUAAAGAACGCACAUUUGGCAUCCCUGGGCUGUAUGCAGAAAUUUGGAAGAAUGUUACCUGUUCUCAUGCUGCCAAGUGAUUUGAUUUAAUGAGUGAAGAGGGGCUAGUCCCUUACAUCGUCAGAAGCUGGGCAAGUAGAGUGAAAUUGUACAAGAAUUCUAAUUAACAAUGAGCUCAUUUCUUUUUAUGGCAGAAUAAAAUCUUGUUGUGCUUCUUUAUGACAAUGUUGCUGAAUUAUUUGAAUGCUUCCUCCAGAUGGUUCCUAUGCUGCACUUUGGAAUUCAUCUAUAGUUACUGUAAGGAUUCCAGAAAAACUCCACUCCAACAAUAACUCUGAGACAGACCUCUCAACAAUUCUGUUUUAUUUGGAUAGUAAACUGGCACAUCUGGGGAAUCUCGAAACUGAAAGUUCCAGGGUUUCUAGCAAUAAGUAAAAACUACAAAUCCACCCCCUGCACCCAUCAUCAUAUCACAUGCCCCAAUCACCAUCCAUCCCAACUUGAGACAACUCAUCACCCAGGUGCAGAAAUAACAUGACCUUGACUUAGAAAAAGAAUGCUAUUAUGUCUAACUACACACACUCUAAGACAGUUACUUUUGGCAAACUGGAAAUAUCCAACACUUUUAGGAUGAAAUGCUGUAGACUCCUGCGGGGUCAGGGGUGGGAUUCUACCAGUUUACACCUAUUCUCUAGAACUGGUUGUUAACAUUCUAAGCAGUUUGGAGAACUGGUUGUUAGAAGAAAUUACUGGCCUAANCUGUAAGGAAGGCAGGAAGGAAACAUUCUGGUGUUGCUUACAGAAACUGCCUCUCCGUUAACCCUUAUUACAUUCUUGCAGGAUUAGACUUCCUAUCUCUGGAACUUCUCUGAAGUUUUUUUCCCCUCUGCUGGUACUUUGCUUGUGUGGAGUGACCAUUCAAAAUUACAAUGGCACUGAAAAAAGUGACUUAUGACUAUUUUUCACACUUACGACUGUUGCAGCAUUCCCACAGUCGUGAGAGGCCAGGCGAGGAGAUGCGUACCUCAAUGUGAGUGAUAUUGAGCUGGCCACACCCAGCCAGUCACAUGACCACCAAGCCAUGUCCACCCAGUCACAUGAUCAUCAAGCCACACCUACCACCUAAGCCACGCCUACAGAACUGGUUGUUAAAAAAUUUGAAUCCCACCCCUGGUGCUGGAGGAUGAAGUUGAUGAAUUGUACAAGUUCUUAUGCUUUCUUGCUUACUGCACAGAUGCAGCCACUUAUCUUUUCUAGGCCAAGGUCAACCUUCUUGGCAUAGCAGAUGUGUGGAAUAGAAUAAAAUAGAAUAUGGAAUAGAAUGGAAUAUAGAAUAGAAUAUGGAAUAGAAUAGAAUAGAAUAGAAUAUGGAAUAGAAUAAAAUAUACUGUAGAAUAGAAUAUGGGAUAGAAUAGAAUAUAGAAUAGAAUAUGGAAUGGAGUAGAAUAGAAUAACAGAGUUGGAAGGGACCUUGGAGGUCUUCUAGUCUUCCUCCCUGCUUAGGCAGGAAAUCCUACACAACUUCAGACAAAUGGUUAUUCAACAUCUUUUUAAAAACUUCCAGUGUUGGAGCAUCCACAACUUCUGGAGGCAAGUUGUUCCACUGAUUAAUUU
This is a long non-coding RNA of Laticauda laticaudata (blue-ringed sea krait), 2167 nucleotides long. The record is from Ensembl. Lineage: Eukaryota; Metazoa; Chordata; Lepidosauria; Squamata; Elapidae.